CAGUUUUGACUAGUUUUGAAUGUAUAAAUUUAUGCUAUUUUACUCACAUGUUGCUCGUACUGCGUAACAUUUUCUCUUUGUCCCACAGUCGCCAGAAGUCAACAGCACGUUCCCCUCUUUGUGUACGUACACGAACGACUAGCUUCUAUUUUCUUCCUAUUUUCGUGCUCGAUAAUAAAUCUCUCCUGCAUUUUUCUUUCCCUCUCAGAUCUUUUUUCUCUUUCAAACAUCUCUGUAUAUCUCUCUCGCUCUUUCUUGUUUAAUUAUUUUUCGUCUUUUACGACGAAUUCCUCGAUCGUGUUCGGCCUGGAAAGCCGACCUAGCUUCGAAAGUAUAUGCUCGCUCUGUCUCGCUGGUUGCACUGAGAUUUCUCCCAGAUCGUGACGUAUCCCACCAUUAGCAAGUGCGCCACUCGCUGUGUGGAAUGUCGUGUUAAAAUGCGCCAUUUCAACCGACUUUACGUAAGCUCAUACGACCAGACGAAACAGAGAAAAAGCAUAUUAUUUCUUGAGAUUUGCCGUCCUUGCUUCCUGAUCGAUGAUCAAGUGCAAAUUCCCGCGCGCGCGCUUUGUUUACAUAUUGCUGCACAAAUAUUACCUUCCCCUCCCUCCCUCGGGCAGGUCAAACAAUUGUCUGUUCGCUUGCUGUAUAUUUUGCAGUACUGGAAUGGAAAAUUUUGACCAAAUAUAACUGUUAUUUCUAUCUGGAGUUGUGCAAGUAACGUCAAUUUUACGGAUGAUGGUAUAUUAAUGUUCUACUGAGCGAAUUUUUGGCCAGAUGUUGCUCGUCGAAACCAGUUUAGACCCCGUGAAAGUAUACGUGUAAUUUGAGUUAUUUGACAAACAGGAUGGCAUUCCCGUUGUGCGUAUAGGUAUACUCGUCCAAUCGGAAGAUAUUUCGUUAAUUCCCACUCAAUUUUGGAUUUUUAUGAUGAGGUUUAACCGUCACUAUCGUUCAAGGUUCACAAACAGGGUUUUCGUCCAUCCAAAGUACAUUUGAGUUACUGAGCUAAACUUCAGCAAGUCUCGUAUUGUA
Non-coding RNA from Paramuricea clavata, 1035 nucleotides. The record is from the annotation of a GenBank genome assembly. Lineage: Eukaryota; Metazoa; Cnidaria; Anthozoa; Malacalcyonacea; Plexauridae.